Molecule: ribosomal RNA, 277 nt
Filed under: uncultured bacterium
Lineage: Bacteria
Description: partial 16S ribosomal RNA
Source: RNAcentral
UAGAGUUUGAUCCUGACUCAGAACGAACGCUGGCGGCGUGCCUAAUACAUGAAAGUCGUAACAAGGUAACCGUAAGUCGUAACAAGGUAACCGUAAGUCGUAACAAGAUAGCCGUAAAGUUUGAUCCUGGCUCAGGAAAGUCGUAACAAGGUAGCCGUAGAGUUUGAUCAUGGCCAGUUUGAUCAUGGCUCAGCCUUUACUUAAAAAAAUGGAGAAGUCGUAACAAGGUAACCGUAAGUCGUAACAAGGUAGCCGUAAGUCGCAAAAGUAACCGUAA